This 253-nucleotide ribosomal RNA is filed under the name uncultured bacterium. RNAcentral's name for it is "partial 16S ribosomal RNA". It matches the Rfam family "Bacterial small subunit ribosomal RNA", at positions 524 to 776 of the family's 1533-position model. The record is from RNAcentral.
UACGGAGGGUGCAAGCGUUGUCCGGAAUCACUGGGCGUAAAGGGCGCGUAGGCGGCUCAUGAAGGCUGUGGUGAAAGUCCGGGGCUCAACCCCGGAUCUGCCGUGCCGACUGUCAGACUCGAGGACUGUAGAGGCAGGCGGAAUUCCGGGUGUAGCGGUGGAAUGCGUAGAGAUCGGGAAGAACACCAGUGGCGAAGGCGACGUGCUGGGUUGCACCUGACGCUGAGAUGCGAAAGUGUGGGGAGCAAACGGG